AGCGAACGCUGGCGGCAGGCUUAACACAUGCAAGUCGAACGCAUCCUUCGGGAUGAGUGGCAGACGGGUGAGUAACACGUGGGAACGUGCCCUCCGGUCUGGGAUAACCCUGGGAAACUAGGGCUAAUACCGGAUACGUGCUUUGGCAGAAAGGUUUACUGCCGGAGGAUCGGCCCGCGUCUGAUUAGCUAGUUGGUGGGGUAACGGCCUACCAAGGCGACGAUCAGUAGCUGGUCUGAGAGGAUGAUCAGCCACACUGGGACUGAGACACGGCCCAGACUCCUACGGGAGGCAGCAGUGGGGAAUAUUGGACAAUGGGCGCAAGCCUGAUCCAGCCAUGCCGCGUGAGUGAUGACGGCCUUAGGGUUGUAAAGCUCUUUUCUCCGGGACGAUAAUGACGGUACCGGAGGAAUAAGCCCCGGCUAACUUCGUGC
RNAcentral lists this ribosomal RNA (434 nucleotides) under uncultured bacterium. RNAcentral describes it as "bacterial SSU rRNA". It matches the Rfam family "Bacterial small subunit ribosomal RNA", at positions 29 to 508 of the family's 1533-position model. The record is from RNAcentral.